GACGAACGCUGGCGGCGUGCCUAAUACAUGCAAGUAGAACGCACAGGAUGCACCGUAGUUUACUACACCGUAUUCUGUGAGUUGCGAACGGGUGAGUAACGCGUAGGUAACCUGCCUGGUAGCGGGGGAUAACUAUUGGAAACGAUAGCUAAUACCGCAUAAGAACAUUUACUGCAUGGUAGAUGUUUAAAAGGUGCAAAUGCAUCACUACCAGAUGGACCUGCGUUGUAUUAGCUAGUAGGUGAGGUAACGGCUCACCUAGGCGACGAUACAUAGCCGACCUGAGAGGGUGAUAGGCCACACUGGGACUGAGACACGGCCCAGACUCCUACGGGAGGCAGCAGUAGGGAAUCUUCGGCAAUGGGGGGAACCCUGACCGAGCAACGCCGCGUGAGUGAAGAAGGUUUUCGGAUCGUAAAGCUCUGUUGUUAAGGAAGAACGAGUGUGAGAAUGGAAAGUUCAUACUGUGACGGUACUUAACCAGAAAGGGACGGCUAACUACGUG
This 505-nucleotide ribosomal RNA is filed under the name uncultured bacterium. RNAcentral describes it as "partial 16S ribosomal RNA". It matches the Rfam family "Bacterial small subunit ribosomal RNA", at positions 28 to 507 of the family's 1533-position model. The record is from RNAcentral.